AAUGGAUUGAGAGCUUGCUCUCAAGAAGUUAGCGGCGGACGGGUGAGUAACACGUGGGUAACCUGCCCAUAAGACUGGGAUAACUCCGGGAAACCGGGGCUAAUACCGGAUAACAUUUUGAACUGCAUGGUUCGAAAUUGAAAGGCGGCUUCGGCUGUCACUUAUGGAUGGACCCGCGUCGCAUUAGCUAGUUGGUGAGGUAACGGCUCACCAAGGCAACGAUGCGUAGCCGACCUGAGAGGGUGAUCGGCCACACUGGGACUGAGACACGGCCCAGACUCCUACGGGAGGCAGCAGUAGGGAAUCUUCCGCAAUGGACGAAAGUCUGACGGAGCAACGCCGCGUGAGUGAUGAAGGCUUUCGGGUCGUAAAACUCUGUUGUUAGGGAAGAACAAGUGCUAGUUGAAUAAGCUGGCACCUUGACGGUACCUAACCAGAAAGCCACGGCUAACUACGUGCCAGCAGCCGCGGUAAUACGUAGGUGGCAAGCGUUAUCCGGAAUUAUUGGGCGUAAAGCGCGCGCAGGUGGUUUCUUAAGUCUGAUGUGAAAGCCCACGGCUCAACCGUGGAGGGUCAUUGGAAACUGGGAGACUUGAGUGCAGAAGAGGAAAGUGGAAUUCCAUGUGUAGCGGUGAAAUGCGUAGAGAUAUGGAGGAACACCAGUGGCGAAGGCGACUUUCUGGUCUGUAACUGACACUG
Molecule: ribosomal RNA, 699 nt
Filed under: uncultured Bacillus sp.
Lineage: Bacteria; Bacillati; Bacillota; Bacilli; Caryophanales; Bacillaceae
Description: bacterial SSU rRNA
Rfam family: Bacterial small subunit ribosomal RNA
Source: RNAcentral